RNAcentral lists this long non-coding RNA (1043 nucleotides) under Equus caballus (horse). RNAcentral's name for it is "lncRNA (ENSECAG00000051681.1)". Lineage: Eukaryota; Metazoa; Chordata; Mammalia; Perissodactyla; Equidae. The record is from RNAcentral.
AGUGGGCCCCCAAAUUGCAUUUAGCAUCAUGCUGCACAAAUUCUGAUAUGACCCUGCUCAGAAUACACACAAAAGAAGCAGGCACUAGGCUAACUUCAACAAUAACAACAGAAGUUAUAUUAGAACACGAAGCACUCUCCCCUGGAUGGAUGACAGGCAUAUAUGUAAAAGAGCCUAGGAACCUCAUUAAGGAAGGAAGGGGGAAAAAAACCAAAACCAGCUGAGAUGGAACAAUGAAUUGGUUUCUUAAUAUUCUUCAAGAGUAACCAAUUAGUUUGGCUGCAAGUUUUGAGAUUAGAUUCCUGUAUGCAAGUCCAACAAUGCUGAGGAUGGCACUCAACAGCACCAGCUGAGAAGAUAAACAUGACGUGCCUACCAUGUGCUUGGCCCUGAAGAUACAAAAGUAAAUAAGAGACUUUGCCUUCUGCCUCAGGAAAGUCUGGAGUCUAGUUACAUUCACCAUGCCUCUCUCUGACGACCAUUUCUUUAUUGAAGGUGGACAGGAAACAAACAGGAUACACUGGUUUGAAACUUUUUAAAAAGCUUAUUAUUGUUAAUUCCACGUUUUUAAAUAACCUUUUGAUCUGUUUUGGAUUUUCCCCCAUCCCUCCCUCCUCUGCUGUUUCCCUUAAAAUAGCAUUCAGUGCACACACAUUGUGUUUUCAUUAAAUGGAUAUGUUUACUCUAAAAACAGAGCUGAGAGUUACCGACUCAAAGGACUCUUCCCCCUUCGUCUCUGGACAAGGCAAACUUUGGGAGACUCACAUUAGACGCAAAGAGGUUUGUUCUGGUUCUUACAGUCAGACCGCUAGAAAGAACCACUGAUAGAAAUAGAGAGAACUGAUCGUUUUAGGAUAUCAGGAGUGUCACGGUGAAGACCAAGUAUGGACGUGUGAGUCAGCUUAUAGACUUUGUACAAUCCUAAAUUCCAGAUUCAUCUGAAGAAAAUGAACUUGCUUUCAUGAAAAUUCACCCUUUUCGUUUCUGAUGAAUUGAUUGCUUAAUGAGUACAUACAUAUUUUAAUAUAAUUGUUCCUUGUUUU